UACGUAGGGUGCAAGCGUUGUCCGGAAUUAUUGGGCGUAAAGAGCUCGUAGGCGGUCUGUCGCGUCGGCUGUGAAAACUCGGGGCUCAACCCCGAGCCUGCAGUCGAUACGGGCAGACUAGAGUGCGGUAGGGGAGACUGGAAUUCCCGGUGUAGCGGUGAAAUGCGCAGAUAUCAGGAGGAACACCAAUGGCGAAGGCAGCUCGCUGGGACGGUACUGACGCUGAGACGCGAAAGCGUGGGGAGCAAACAGG
This 253-nucleotide ribosomal RNA is filed under the name uncultured bacterium. RNAcentral's name for it is "partial 16S ribosomal RNA". It matches the Rfam family "Bacterial small subunit ribosomal RNA", at positions 524 to 776 of the family's 1533-position model. The record is from RNAcentral.